Molecule: long non-coding RNA, 948 nt
Organism: Ixodes scapularis (black-legged tick)
Lineage: Eukaryota; Metazoa; Arthropoda; Arachnida; Ixodida; Ixodidae
Exons: 3
Source: RefSeq, a predicted model, not a curated record
AAUGGCAGUACAAGGUCCCCCAUGGACACGAAAGCAGUGAGGAGGCUUCAUUGGAGACGGUGCGCACUGAAAACUGUGAAACCGCCCAAAGAGAGAGCUUGCCAGAUGAAACUUCUCCAGAUGACUCCUCUCCAGAUGUACCAUUGGUAGGCAUCGAGCCCUUUGAGCUGCCUUCGUGUUCAGACGACGAUGGGAACACCUUCAUUUUCCCCAAGCUUGGAGCUCUCCAUGAUACGAUCAUCUCUGGCAAACCUCUGACAUCUUCAUCAUUCCGAAAGAUUGUGGAGCUCCUCUUUCGUGCAAUGGUGAACAUAACAGUGUAAGUAAGGUGGUCUCAAAAUUCGGACUUAUUCCUAGCUUCAUCAUUUCCAGUUCCUUUCAUGGGUGACUUCUUUGUGGGCACCGGUCAACCUUUGUCUUGCUGUAUCUUUCUGUAUCCAGCUAAACCUAUGUCUUAAAUCACAGUAUCGAAGCAGGUGAAACUGAUUUUUGCAAUAUAUUUGAAGUGGGUUUAAUCCCUCUAACCCUCCUUGUAUACAAAAAAAAAAAAGUAAUUCGGAAAAAAAGCUAGGUUGCUUCUUUCUGGUCCUUAUCUUGCCAAAUUUUGUGCAGUGGUAAACAUAGUAGAUUGAUGGCUUAUUUGCGUUGUUUCACAAGUGCAUCUUUGUGCUGAAUUUUAGGCUUCUUGGUCGAGACCGCUGCGCCAAAAAUGAAAUUAGUCAGUUCAGGCUAGAGAAAUGUUUGGUUAGUUAGGUCACUUCUUGUCAUUUGCUAGAAGCAAUCCAUGCCCUCGCUGUAUUUACAGGUGUAUGUGUUGCUGGUGUGUAAAAUUAAUGGAAGCUUUAAGUAACUUGCUCGUUUUCCUUCAAUAGGACAACAUGUCUCUUUGUCGAAAUUCAUAUUACAAGAAUUUGCUAAGCGGAAAAUGUGUAGAUAUUCCUUUUUUUU